UCCUGGGUGGCUCAGUCGGUUAAGCAUCUGACUUCGGUUCAGGUCGUGAUCUCACAGUUCGUGGGUUUGAGCCCCACCUCAGGCU
This is a transfer RNA of Felis catus (domestic cat), 85 nucleotides long. It matches the Rfam family "tRNA". From Rfam's summary of the family: Transfer RNA (tRNA) molecules are approximately 80 nucleotides in length. Their secondary structure includes four short double-helical elements and three loops (D, anti-codon, and T loops). Further hydrogen bonds mediate the characteristic L-shaped molecular structure. tRNAs have two regions of fundamental functional importance: the anti-codon, which is responsible for specific mRNA codon recognition, and the 3' end, to which the tRNAs corresponding amino acid is attached (by aminoacyl-tRNA synthetases). tRNAs cope with the degeneracy of the genetic code in two manners: having more than one tRNA (with a specific anti-codon) for a particular amino acid; and 'wobble' base-pairing, i.e. permitting non-standard base-pairing at the 3rd anti-codon position. NCBI's taxonomy places the organism in Eukaryota, Metazoa, Chordata, Mammalia, Carnivora, Felidae. The record is from Rfam.